AGUGAACGCUGGCGGUAGGCCUAACACAUGCAAGUCGAACGGCAGCACAGUAAGAGCUUGCUCUUACGGGUGGCGAGAGGCGGACGGGUGAGGAAUACAUCGGAAUCUACUUUUUCGUGGGGGAGAACGUAGGGAAACUUACGCUAAUACCGCAUACGACCUACGGGUGAAAGCAGGGGAUCUUCGGACCUUGCGCGAUUGAAUGAGCCGAUGUCGGAUUAGCUAGUUGGCGGGGUAAAGGCCCACCAAGGCGACGAUCCGUAGCUGGUCUGAGAGGAUGAUCAGCCACACUGGAACUGAGACACGGUCCAGACUCCUACGGGAGGCAGCAGUGGGGAAUAUUGGACAAUGGGCGCAAGCCUGAUCCAGCCAUACCGCGUGGGUGAAGAAGGCCUUCGGGUUGUAAAGCCCUUUUGUUGGGAAAGAAAAGCAGCAGGUUAAUACCCCGCUGUUCUGACGGUACCCAAAGAAUAAGCACCGGCUAACUUCGUG
RNAcentral lists this ribosomal RNA (492 nucleotides) under uncultured bacterium. Its description in RNAcentral is "partial 16S ribosomal RNA". It matches the Rfam family "Bacterial small subunit ribosomal RNA", at positions 29 to 507 of the family's 1533-position model. The record is from RNAcentral.